GCUGAUCUGCCCCCAAAUUACUGCCUGUCAUAACAAAAUUUCACAUUUCUUGCAGGAAGAAAAAUAUUCAGACUUUCAAGAGUGGAGGAUUUCAAAUAUCCAGGAUACAAUUUUUAAAUUACUGGAUCUUUAUCUUAAGAAAAUAAGCCAAAAGAUAUCACUUUGUAACUCUGCUUAUGCUCCUCCAACACUCUUCAAGUCCUGAGCCUGUUUGACCACCACUAAUGUGUCCUUCUAGUUUCCCAUCUUUUCUCUGUUUUCCUUGCAUAUGAUGUGAAGCUUCAUGAAAGGUGGAUGGGCAUGGGAGUCAAUAGGAACAGACCCUGAGAUAACCUGGAAUUAGCAAGACUUCAGGACUGAAUUCUUCAGGAGGGAAGAGAAGGGAAGAGGAAGAGCUGACAAAGGGAUUAUAGUAGCUCCACCUGUCUGGUGGAUCCAGGUCAGGCAGAGUGGUGGCCUGAAAUAUAGUGCGGUAAGAAGCACCAAGGGCAGGCAUGAACGCUGGCUAGGAAGCAGUGAACAUCGAGCCAUGGAAACUCAACUCUGCUAUGUCCCACAGGAUAAUAGCAAGUUUAUAUACUAUUGAAGAGGCAGGCAGGAGUUCAUGUAGUUCAUGAAAAGGCAGCAUGCAUUCGCAACUCAGAACUUGUCCUGUGAAGGAAGAAAACAACACCCCUUAGACCAAAGAAUUAAGAGAUGACUUAUAUUUGAAAAACCACCCACGGCUGCACAUUGAUGUGUAAGUUGCAUU
RNAcentral lists this long non-coding RNA (751 nucleotides) under Callithrix jacchus (white-tufted-ear marmoset). RNAcentral's name for it is "lncRNA (ENSCJAG00000081699.1)". The record is from RNAcentral. Lineage: Eukaryota; Metazoa; Chordata; Mammalia; Primates; Cebidae.